Long non-coding RNA from Homo sapiens (human), 658 nucleotides. Ensembl annotates it as MAST4 intronic transcript 1. Its record names the gene MAST4-IT1. The record is from Ensembl. Lineage: Eukaryota; Metazoa; Chordata; Mammalia; Primates; Hominidae.
GUUACAGUCUUCCAUUUCAGAGAGGCAAUCAAAAGUUGUGAGAGAAAGAGUUGUCUUUAGAGUCUGUCAAAUCAUUUCAUUUUAAGCUCUUCAUUUCACAUUUCCAUCAUGUAAAGUACCUUAAUUACAGAAUCCUUUUUAUUUUCUAAUUAAGUAUUGUAAUACAGUCAAGGAUUUUAGUUCUGUAGACACUUCGUAAUAUGCUUAAGAGCACUUAAUAUUUUGAACUUUGGGCAAUCCACAAACACAGUUUGUUUUAAAGAUAAAGGGACAGUAGUAUUUUAAAAGCUAUAGUUUAGUAAUUAGAAUGGGAAGCAUGCCGGAUGCCUUUUAUUGCUUCCAUCUGUUUAAAGAUAAUGAAAAUAAGAAAUUGGAAAAAAAAAUCUUCCAGGAGACUGUAGAUUAUUAGCUACAGAAUAUUCCUUUCUUUUGAAAAAAUUGGGUAAUCCCUUAAAGAUAUUUAUUGAUAGUCCCUUAAAGAUAUGAAGAUAUUUAGUGAAGUCUUUGAUAAUUUUUUGUUUUGUUUUGUUUUGAGACAGAGCCUUUGUUACCCAGGCUGGAGUGCAGUGGCUCAACCUUGGCUCACUGCAACCUCAGCCUCCCAGGUUCAAGUGAUUCUCCUGCCUCAACCUCCCAAGUAGCUAGGAUUACAGGCACC